Long non-coding RNA from Zingiber officinale, 1030 nucleotides. RefSeq lists it as uncharacterized. The transcript is spliced from 2 exons. The record is from RefSeq and is a predicted model, not a curated record. Lineage: Eukaryota; Viridiplantae; Streptophyta; Magnoliopsida; Zingiberales; Zingiberaceae.
UCUUGUGCCCUAGCCAUCACCUUCGCCGAAUCCCUCUCCCUCCCGCGCCGAAUCCUCUUUCUCCCUCUCUUCCGCACGAUCGACGCCGACGACCCUCUCAUCACCGAUGCUGAUCCGCCCUCUUCGGUCACAAGCAAGAAGUGGUCCCUCUUCGAGCUUCCUUGCGCUGUCGCAGGACCCGAUUCUGGCCUUCCCUCUGCCCUAGCGUCGGCCGCCCGAUCCACUGCCACCUCUGGCCACGACAAGAGCUAGCCAGCAAGUGCAUUCCUUUAUGUUGGUAUGGAUUGGAUGAGGUAAGGGUUAAAGGUCUUGGAAGGGUUGGAAUGUUUGGUGCUAUGAUGUCUGGAAGUAGGAAUAAGUUGCAAGUUGUUUUCCUUUGACGUUAUUGCUUCACCUGGUGAGUUUUUCGGUUUUCAACUACGGAUUUGAGGUAUUUGUAAUCGAGUUCGGUGUUGCCCUGUCUCCCUUGGUUGGUUUGAGUUAUGGACAGGAUUCUUGUGAAUUCGUUUGGGUUUGGGAAGACGAUAUUUUUCUUUCCUAUUGCCUGUGUGAUUGUAGUCCGAUUUUGGUAGAUUAAGCUUGAUUGAUGAUGCUUUUGCUCCUCUUUAUGGCUUCCAGAAUUUCUGUACAGAUUAUACGUAGAUUAAGCUUCGAUGGUUGGAGGUUUUGUUCUUUUGGUACCUUCCAAAAUCUUGGAUAGAUUCUAUCAGUGGAUUUAGCUUGAUGAUUGGUAUGCAGGAUUAGAGUACGAAGUGACUUCUAUUUCUCAUGAUAUGCAUAUGAUGAUAGGUUAAAUUGGGUAUGCUGGAUUGUUAGUUCAUGUCCUUCUUGGAUUAGAUUGAAGCAUGUGAAGGAAGAGUUUGAAAUGGUUUAGAUUGAUUAACAGUUGAUACAUUGAUUAUAGAUUCUUAGUUUUGUCCUGUAUCUUGUAUUUGUAGGAUUUGAGUUGGAUGUGAUCUUUUGGAUCUUGUUGAAGAUGGUUGACACGAGCUACGAAUAAAGGCGGAUACUUCUUGCUUUGUUUCUUUUA